CUUCAUUGUAUUCUUCUGCAAUUGUUUACGUCUGGAUGGCGCAUGCCCCCGUUGUGCUUAUUUUCAAUUGUUUUCGGCAAAAUAUAUGGAUUAGAUCGAGCCGGGCAUUGUAAAUCGACCAAACAUCAUCCAAGUUUGCGAUAAUCUUGACAUUCUGAGGGACUCGAAAGGUAGAAGGCGAUAAUGGUUGUCUUCACUUCGUGCUGGUCGCCGUUCAUUUGGACAAACUCCGUCAAGACCGGGAGCUAUGCGAUUGCAUACUACACAGUGGCAAUAUCCGUGGUCCUGAUAACGAUGGUCUGCUACAUGCUCGCCGGGGGAGAGUCGACGCAGCUGUACUCCCCCUUGUUUGAGGCGGAUAUUCGGUUCUCGAUGCCACUUUUCGGGAGCAUUUUCAUCAUUUACUUCCUCUUUUUGAUUGUGUCCUCGUAUCUCUUGUACUACGGCAUCAAAACAUGCACGAGAGGAUGGAUGUUGCCGUGGAUGGGCCUGUUCGGGCUGGGCAUCUUGUUCCAGUUUGUUUUCGGUCUUUGGUUAAUUGGCGGCUACUAUAUUUAUCUGGACGCUACCUUCGCUGCCCUCGUUCUCUGGGCCUGGAUGAGCUACAACAUCUAUUGCUGGCUCUGCGUCUAUUCACAAUAUCAAAUAUUCGUUGAGAUCCAGAAUCCGAACAUAGAACUCCUGAUGCCGUGAAGACCCGCACAAAUCCCAAGUCGACAGGCAAAAAGCGCACAAAGAAUAGAAUUCGCUUUCGAGUCACCACCAUGAGUCUGUGAGACAUCAAACCACAUAUCCCGUAGAUUAUCACUUCUUAGAGAAUAUUUUUGUAGCUGAAAGUAGUUUUAGGCGGAACCUCAUCAUUCCCGACACUGAGUAACUUUAAGACUUAACGAUGCCGUCCCUAAUUGUAAUCUCGAUUUGCAGCACGUACGCUCCGGCCAGCGUAUGGAAUGUAAAUUUGAUCUUUCCAUUAAUGAAAGUGACAUAUUAUUUAAUAUUAUCAAAAGUACAAUAUUCUAAUUAUUGUUAGAGGAGUUUUUAUUAGACAAAGUAAAAAAAAU
This 1061-nucleotide unclassified non-coding RNA is filed under the name Hermetia illucens (black soldier fly). RNAcentral's name for it is "uncharacterized LOC119659175, transcript variant X1". Lineage: Eukaryota; Metazoa; Arthropoda; Insecta; Diptera; Stratiomyidae. The record is from RNAcentral.